AAGAACAAGAAAAAACUGCUGAAUAGAAACUGUAAAAGAAAAAUUCUGAUUAAGAGAUUUUUUUUUUUGUAAGAAACUUUAUAAGGUCAAAAUACUUUAAUUGCAUGCAACAGGCAGCAUGCCAGAUCAUACCAUCUCAGUAGUCCCCAUUCAUUAUUUCUGUUCUAUACACAAAAUAGUUUUAGGCGUUGUGAGAACCAAAGACAAUUAGGGUGAACUUGUUAGUCUUUUAGGCUGACUGGCUGAUGUCUGUGCAGGUCCUCAAAGAUUUAAAACCCAGGAUGUUUAUUGAAAGAAAUAUGAUGUGGGCCUGCUGUAUAAAUUAAACAAAAAUAAAAUCAAGAAAAAGUUAUUAAAGCUAUGCUACUGUUAAGUCUCAGCUAAAUUGAAAAUAAUGAAACAGCUUUCAAAUCAAAAUCAAAUCCACCAGUUAGCUUCCAUAUUGGGUUGGAAUUAAAUGUUCUAAUUAAUGAAAUAAUCAGAUUAAUAUAAUCAGUAGUCAGUCUGAGAAGGGAUCUGAAGAGGUAGCAGUUUGAAGCCAAUAAUUUUAUCCAAGUGAAUCAAAUAUGUAACUUAUAGCUGGAUAAAUAAUCAAUACUGAAACCAAAUUAUUUUUAAAAAUUUUAAACAGUGACCUCCAAGUCAAAACUUCCUCCCUAUGUUUAGUAUUUUUCAUGACCAACAUAUUCCUGCUCCUUUGCUCCCACAAACAGAGAAGUUUCAAAAGAAGCUUUGAAAGAACACUGUGAUAAUGGAAGUUGACAACUUAUUAAGCAAUCACUAGAUGACUCUCAAAUGCUGAGCACAGCAUGCAUUGAAUGAAUGUGGACUUCUAGUAGUGUGGAAUAACAGAUGUAAUGGCUAGUGGUGAAAUGCUAAUGCAACUG
Molecule: long non-coding RNA, 887 nt
Organism: Gavialis gangeticus (Gharial)
Lineage: Eukaryota; Metazoa; Chordata; Crocodylia; Gavialidae
Exons: 2
Source: RefSeq, a predicted model, not a curated record